RNAcentral lists this transfer RNA (73 nucleotides) under Thermoplasmata archaeon. Its description in RNAcentral is "tRNA-Phe". It matches the Rfam family "tRNA". Rfam says of the family: Transfer RNA (tRNA) molecules are approximately 80 nucleotides in length. Their secondary structure includes four short double-helical elements and three loops (D, anti-codon, and T loops). Further hydrogen bonds mediate the characteristic L-shaped molecular structure. tRNAs have two regions of fundamental functional importance: the anti-codon, which is responsible for specific mRNA codon recognition, and the 3' end, to which the tRNAs corresponding amino acid is attached (by aminoacyl-tRNA synthetases). tRNAs cope with the degeneracy of the genetic code in two manners: having more than one tRNA (with a specific anti-codon) for a particular amino acid; and 'wobble' base-pairing, i.e. permitting non-standard base-pairing at the 3rd anti-codon position. RNAcentral also lists the same sequence under 2 other names. The record is from RNAcentral. Lineage: Archaea; Methanobacteriati; Thermoplasmatota; Thermoplasmata.
GCGGUUGUAACUCAGCUGGGAGAGUGCCUGACUGAAGAUCAGGUUGUCGCUGGUUCAAAUCCGGCCAACCGCA